UACGUAGGGGGCAAGCGUUAUCCGGAUUUACUGGGUGUAAAGGGAGCGUAGACGGCAUGGCAAGUCUGAUGUGAAAACCCGGGGCUCAACCCCGUCGAGCCGUUUGAACUGGCGCGCUUGAGUUCAGGCGAGGUAGGCGGAAUUCGUGGUGUAGCGGUGAAAUGCAUAGAUAUCACGAAGAACUCCGAUUGCGAAGGCAGCUUACCAGUCUGCGACUGACGCUCAGGCACGAAAGUGUGGGUAUCGAACAGG
This 252-nucleotide ribosomal RNA is filed under the name uncultured Bacteroidales bacterium. Its description in RNAcentral is "partial 16S ribosomal RNA". It matches the Rfam family "Bacterial small subunit ribosomal RNA", at positions 524 to 776 of the family's 1533-position model. The record is from RNAcentral. Lineage: Bacteria; Pseudomonadati; Bacteroidota; Bacteroidia; Bacteroidales.